AAACCCGCACGCCGAAAGACCAAGGUUUCCCCAGCUAUGCUAAUCAGCUGGGGGUCAGUCGGGACCUAACGCGAACCCGGAAGGGGUAGUGGAUGGACAACAGGUUAAUAUUCCUGUACCUGCAAUAAAUUAAAAGUGACGGGGCAUCGGAGUUGGUGCGUGCUGACGGAAUAGCACGUUGAAGCGUAAG
Molecule: ribosomal RNA, 190 nt
Filed under: Ctenophora environmental sample
Lineage: Eukaryota; Metazoa; Ctenophora
Description: partial Bacterial large subunit ribosomal RNA
Rfam family: Bacterial large subunit ribosomal RNA
Source: RNAcentral